RNAcentral lists this small RNA (880 nucleotides) under Pan troglodytes (chimpanzee). RNAcentral describes it as "retained intron". The record is from RNAcentral. Lineage: Eukaryota; Metazoa; Chordata; Mammalia; Primates; Hominidae.
AAUAAAUAAAGGGCUCAAUUAGGUAGAUUCUAGAUACCUAGGAAAUCAAUUCAUCAUUAUCUCAAUAAAUUUAUUAUUAAUUUGUAAACAGUUGAUAGUUUUAUUAGCUUUCUUAAAAGUUUUGUUAAAAUAGUAUCACCACCUAUAUAUAAUUCAUGCUUUGUAUCAGCACUCUGGGGACAAGUAAAGCAGAAUUUUUAUUUUAAUGCAUGAAUAUACUUGCAUUUUAAGGAACCAAUAUAGUGUUGAAAUGUAACCUUCUCUGAAAUGAUAUUUAAAUAUUUGUAGAUAUUUGGAAACAUAUCUCAUAAUUAAAUUAUUGGUAUUUAAAUUGGGGGAGAUGAUUUUUUUCUGCAAUUUACUGCCUUAGAAUUAUGGAAAGAAACAUUCCUUUUAAGUAACAUGAUAGACCCCUUUUGUAAAUUGUCUAAAGAUUUACACCAAAUACUCUCUACAGCAGAACAGUACACAAGACUCUGGACUACAGGAAAGUGAAGUAUCAGCAGAAAAUAUCUUAACUGUAGCCAAGGAUCCAAGAUAUGCCAGAUAUCUCAAAAUGGUUCAAGUGGGUGUACCAGUGAUGGCAAUAAGAAACAAAAUGAUAUCAGAAGGACUAGACCCAGAUCUUCUUGAGAGGCCAGAUGCUCCAGUGCCUGAUGGCGAAAUUGAAAAAACUGUAGAAGAAAGUUCAGAUAGCGAAUCUUCUUUUAGUGAUUAAGCUUAAUUUUGAUAAGAAUUACAUAUGCAUGCAUAGGGGUACAUUUACAUUCUGUAAGAGAUUGAGCCUGAACUCUCUUAGUCAUAAAAACAUCAAAUGGCCACAUGUCCACUACCAAGCUUCUUCUAUGUUAAAAAAAUAAUAAUAAAGCAGUUUUAACCU